GCCAUUUAAAGUGGUACGCGAGCUGGGUUCAGAACGUCGUGAGACAGUUCGGUCCCUAUCUGCCGUGGGCGUUGGAUGAUUGAAGGGAGUUGCUCCUAGUACGAGAGGACCGGAGUGAACGAACCUCUGGUGUUCGGGUUGUCACGCCAGUGGCACUGCCCGGUAGCUAAGUUCGGAAUCGAUAACCGCUGAAAGCAUCUAAGCGGGAAGCGAGCCCUGAGAUGAGUCAUCCCUGACCCCUUGAGGGUCCUAAAGGGCCGUUGGAGACCACAACGUUGAUAGGUGGGGUGUGUAAGCGCGGUGACGUGUUGAGCUAACCCAUACUAAUUACCCGUGAGGCUUAACCAUACAACACCCAAGAAGUGUUCU
RNAcentral lists this ribosomal RNA (369 nucleotides) under Aeromonas veronii. RNAcentral describes it as "bacterial LSU rRNA". It matches the Rfam family "Bacterial large subunit ribosomal RNA", at positions 2583 to 2925 of the family's 2925-position model. The record is from RNAcentral. Lineage: Bacteria; Pseudomonadati; Pseudomonadota; Gammaproteobacteria; Aeromonadales; Aeromonadaceae.